CUGUGUAAAAAUCUGUCAUUAUUCUCAAUAGUAAUAUUCAUAAACUAGGACCUGGUAUACAGUAGCUGCAAACAGCAGCCUCCGUGGUAGUGUAUGCAACCUGUUGCUUAUAUGGGCUGCUCUAAGGGACUUUGGAAACAGAA
Molecule: small nucleolar RNA, 143 nt
Filed under: Castor canadensis (American beaver)
Lineage: Eukaryota; Metazoa; Chordata; Mammalia; Rodentia; Castoridae
Description: Small nucleolar RNA SNORA70 (ENSCCNG00000031095.1)
Rfam family: Small nucleolar RNA SNORA70
About the family: snoRNA U70 seems to be exclusive to mammals and is a member of the H/ACA class of snoRNA which contain H (ANANNA) and ACA box motifs. H/ACA box snoRNAs are involved in the conversion of uridines to pseudouridines (5-ribosyluracil) a constituent of structural RNAs (transfer, ribosomal, small nuclear, and small nucleolar).
Source: Rfam by way of RNAcentral